RNAcentral lists this ribosomal RNA (373 nucleotides) under uncultured organism. Its description in RNAcentral is "partial 16S ribosomal RNA". It matches the Rfam family "Bacterial small subunit ribosomal RNA", at positions 527 to 896 of the family's 1533-position model. The record is from RNAcentral.
GUAGGUGGCAAGCGUUGUCCGGAAUUAUUGGGCGUAAAGCGCGCGCAGGCGGUUCUUUAAGUCCGAUGUGAAAGCCCACGGCUCAACCGUGGAGGGUCAUUGGAAACUGGAGAACUUGAGUACAGAAGAGGAAAGCGGAAUUCCACGUGUAGCGGUGAAAUGCGUAGAGAUGUGGAGGAACACCAGUGGCGAAGGCGGCUUUCUGGUCUGUAACUGACGCUGAGGCGCGAAAGCGUGGGGAGCAAACAGGGAUUAGAUACCCUGGUAGUCCACGCCGUAAACGAUGAGUGCUAAGUGUUAGGGGGUUUCCCGCCCCUUAGUGCUGCAGCUAACGCAUUAAGCACUCCGCCUGGGGGAUACGGCCGCAAGGCUG